CCCCACUAUUCUAGCCUUAAAACUCAAACGCUUCUAGGGCACUACGAAAAACCUUUAAAACCCAAAGAACUUGGCGGCCCUUUAUACCCAAUCAGGGGAGCCUGUCCUAGAAUUGAUACCCCACACCUCCCACAACUUGCCCUCGCCCUCCCAGCCUGUAUACCGCCUGUCGCCAGCCACCUAAAAAAAGCAAGUAUGCCCAAUAGUAACCACUAGAACGUCAGGUCAAGGUGCAGCCUAUGAGCAAGAAGAGAAUGGGCUACAGUCUCUAACAAACUCAGAAGUCUAAAUGAAAAAAAGACUAAAGAAGGACUUGAAAGUAAUGGGAGCAAGGAGCCCCCAUGAAUAGAGCAAUAAAGUGUGC
This 364-nucleotide ribosomal RNA is filed under the name Cancellothyris hedleyi. RNAcentral's name for it is "partial 12S small subunit ribosomal RNA". The record is from RNAcentral. Lineage: Eukaryota; Metazoa; Brachiopoda; Rhynchonellata; Terebratulida; Cancellothyrididae.